AGAGUUUGAUCCUGGCUCAGGACGAACGCUGGCGGCGUGCUUGAUACAUGCAAGUCAAGGAGAACAUUGUCUUCGGAUAAUAAGUAAACUGGCGAACGGGUGAGUAACGCGUAAACAACUUGCCUCAGAGAUUGGGACAACAUUGGGAAACCAGUGCUAAUACCAAAUAAUGCAGCGGGCUCUUCGGAGCACAGUUGUUAAAGUAGGCUUCGGCUUACACUUUGAGAUAGGUUUGCGUCCGAUUAGUUAGUUGGUAGGGUAAUUGCCUACCAAGACUAAGAUCGGUAGCUGGUCUGAGAGGAUGAUCAGCCACACUGGAAUUGAGAUACGGUCCAGACUCCUACGGGAGGCAGCAGUAAGGAAUUUUGCACAAUGGGCGAAAGCCUGAUGCAGCAACGCCGCGUGAACGAUGAAGUUUUUAGGAAUGUAAAGUUCUGUCGUAUGGGAAGAGAUCUUUCGAAUGUUAAUACCAUUCGUUAAUGACGGUACCAUACAAGAAAGCACCGGCUAACUUCGUGCCAGCAGCCGCGGUAAUACGAGGGGUGCUAGCGUUGUCCGGAUUUACUGGGCGUAAAGGGUACGUAGGCGUUUUAAUAAGUUGUAUGUUAAAUAUCUUAGCUUAACUAAGAAAGUGCAUCCAAAACUGUUAAAAUAGAGUUUGAGAGAGGAACGCAGAAUUCAUGGUGGAGCGGUGACAUGCGUAGAUAUCAUGAGGAAAGUCAAAUGCGAAGGCAGCCUUCUGGCUCAAAACUGACGCUGAGGUACGAAAGCGUGGGGAGCGAACAGGAUUAGAUACCCUGGUAGUCCACGCCGUAAACGAUGAGUAUUUGGUGCUGGGGGAUUCGACCCUUUCAGUGCCGUAGCUAACGCGAUAAAUACUCCGCCUGGGGACUACGAUCGCAAGAUUGAAACUCAAAGGAAUUGACGGGGACCCGCACAAGCGGUGGAACAUGUGGUUUAAUUCGAUGAUACGCGAAGAACCUUACCUGGGUUUGACAUGUUAGUGAAAGUUUUCUGAAAAGAAAUCCCUUUAGAAGCUUGCUUUUAAACACUAUCACAGGUG
This 1063-nucleotide ribosomal RNA is filed under the name marine metagenome. Its description in RNAcentral is "bacterial SSU rRNA". It matches the Rfam family "Bacterial small subunit ribosomal RNA", at positions 8 to 1040 of the family's 1533-position model. The record is from RNAcentral.